UCGUGGUUAGACUAGGACAUACUUGCAUGGUGCUGCCUGCGUUCAUCUCACUCUGGUAUCUGGGUUCCAGGCUAUAAGAAAACUUAAUAAGCCUUGAGAUUGUGUACUACAGGAUUGGCUACUGGCAUCAUCUGCAGUGUAAGAUCCAGGGUACCGGCUGAUCUGGGGGUGCGGCUGCUCGGGGGAUUUUCCGUCAAGGCACUGAGAUCGAACCAUUAGCCUCCAGGCCAGCCUCACACAGCAAUCUGCCCCCC
Long non-coding RNA from Mauremys mutica (yellowpond turtle), 254 nucleotides. RefSeq lists it as uncharacterized. NCBI's taxonomy places the organism in Eukaryota, Metazoa, Chordata, Testudines, Geoemydidae. The transcript has 3 exons. The record is from RefSeq and is a predicted model, not a curated record.